Molecule: long non-coding RNA, 814 nt
Organism: Alnus glutinosa
Lineage: Eukaryota; Viridiplantae; Streptophyta; Magnoliopsida; Fagales; Betulaceae
Exons: 2
Source: RefSeq, a predicted model, not a curated record
AGUAAUACUACACAUCAUCUCUGUCUUUCUUUUAUCUUUAUAAUUGAUGUAGCUCUUAAAAUCACAAAUAAUGCUACACAUCAUCCUUGUCUUUCUUUUAUCCUCACAAUUAAUGUAGCUCUUAAAAUCACAGUCAGAUCAGAAUCGAAGAUAGAGUAAGAGACCUUGAGAUUUAGAGAAAUGGAAAGGGAAACCGAGAGAAACUUCCUGCUUCUUCCUUCUUUUCCUCAUGUUCUCCUUGUUCUUCCCUCAACCAGCCAACACAGAGAGACCGAGAGUGAGACCUGAGAGAUCGGGAGAACAGAGAGGGAGAACCGGAGAAGACCCGACUAACCCGAGAGACCCGUGAGUCGGUGAUGGACCCAGAGACGAUCGAAGGCACGAUUUCCGGCCGAUCGCCGAUGUGUCGACGCCGGCGAAGCUAAGGGCGCGAUUUCCGGUGGGUUUCCGGCGAGUGGCGUAGAAAAGCAUCACGUGACCAAAUUCACCAUCUUUCUCGGUGGAUUUUCUGGAAAUCUCCAAAUAUGGGGUUGUGGUAACAUCCACAAUCACAUAUUUGUUGGUGCAGGUUCAAAAGACGAUGGAUUUGAUUAUGCUAGCUUUAAAGAUUUCAAGCCAACGUUUAUAUAGCUGAUUGUAUUUGGUUGUAAUCAUUUGUGUUCACAUUCUUUUAUAUGUAAUAUGCUUAGAAAAAUGUUCGUAUGGGAUAGAGUUUUCAUGUAUGUUCGAGUGUCGUUUGUGACACAUGUUUUGAUGUAAUUAACAAAAAGAAAAUUAAAUAUCUUCGGAUAAAUAUCUAGAGGUAUUUUAGUCA